RNAcentral lists this ribosomal RNA (366 nucleotides) under bacterium T-2-0-8A. Its description in RNAcentral is "bacterial SSU rRNA". It matches the Rfam family "Bacterial small subunit ribosomal RNA", at positions 469 to 829 of the family's 1533-position model. The record is from RNAcentral.
UGGACGUUACUCGCAGGAAUAAGCACCGGCUAACUCUGUGCCAGCAGCCGCGGUAAUACAGAGGGUGCAAGCGUGAAUCGGAUUUACUGGGCGUAAAGCGCGCGUAGGUGGCCAAUUAAGUCAAAUGUGAAAUCCCCGAGCUUAACUUGGGAAUUGCAUUCGAUACCUGGUUGGCUAGAGUAUGGGAGAGGAUGGUAGAAUACCNAGGUGUAGCGGUGAAAUGCGUAGAGAUCUGGAGGAAUACCGAUUGGCGAAGGCAGCCAUCUGGCCUAAUACUGACACCUGAGGUGCGAAAGCAUGGGGAGCAAACAGGAUUAGAUACCCUGGUAGUCCAUGCGGUAAACGAUGUCUACUANCCGUUGGGGC